RNAcentral lists this ribosomal RNA (253 nucleotides) under uncultured bacterium. Its description in RNAcentral is "partial 16S ribosomal RNA". It matches the Rfam family "Bacterial small subunit ribosomal RNA", at positions 524 to 776 of the family's 1533-position model. The record is from RNAcentral.
UACAUGGGGUGCAAACGUUGCUCGGAAUCAUUGGGCGUAAAGCGCGCGUAGACGGUUGCUUAAGUCGGAUGUGAAAGCCCUCGGCUUAACUGAGGAAGUGCAUCCGAAACUGAGCAGCUAGAGUACGAGAGAGGGUCGCGGAAUUCCCGGUGUAGAGGUGAAAUUCGUAGAUAUCGGGAGGAACACCGGUGGCGAAGGCGGCGACCUGGGUCGAGACUGACGCUGAGGCGCGAAAGCGUGGGGAGCAAACAGG